GUUAAAACACCAGUUCCCAUAUGAUCAUCAAAGUUAAGGAACAUCAAGCCUGGUCAGUACCUAUAUGGGUGACUGCUUGGGAAUGCCAGGUGCUGUAA
Molecule: non-coding RNA, 98 nt
Organism: Acanthosepion pharaonis
Lineage: Eukaryota; Metazoa; Mollusca; Cephalopoda; Sepiida; Sepiidae
Source: the annotation of a GenBank genome assembly